GUAUCAGUGGUUUAGUGGUAAAAUGUAAGUUACCAAUCACUUUAUAGUUACUUAAAGUGGAAAGUUAAUUUGAUAGCCAUCGUUGCCAUCGAUGGGCCCCGCCUUCGAUUCGCGGCUGAUGCA
Molecule: non-coding RNA, 123 nt
Organism: Cenococcum geophilum 1.58
Lineage: Eukaryota; Fungi; Ascomycota; Dothideomycetes; Gloniales; Gloniaceae
Source: the annotation of a GenBank genome assembly